Cyprinus carpio carpio is the source of this 869-nucleotide long non-coding RNA. NCBI's taxonomy places the organism in Eukaryota, Metazoa, Chordata, Actinopteri, Cypriniformes, Cyprinidae. The record is from Ensembl.
UCCUGCCAGCACAUAGUACCCUAAAAAUAACAGUAAUAUGAAUAUUGAGUACUCCUGCCCUGAGAGCAGUGCAUAGUUUAGUAAAAUAACGGUAAUAUGAAUAUUGAGUACUCCUGCCCGGAGAGCAGCACAUAAUUUAGUAAAAUAACAGUAAUAUGAAUAUUGAGUACUUCUGCCCUGAGAGCAGCGCAUAGUUGAGUAAAAUAACAGUAAUAUGAAGAUUGAGUACUCCUGCCCUGAGAGCAGCGCAUAGUUUAGUAAAAUAACAGUAAUAUGAAUAUUGAGUGCUCCUGCCCUGAGAGCAGUGCGUAGUUUAUUAAAAUAAGAGUAAUAUGAAUAUUGAGUACUCCUGCCCUGAGAGCAGCACAUAGUUUAGUAAAAUAACAGUAAUAUGAAUAUUGAGUACUCCUGCCCUGAGAGCAGCACAUAGUUUAUUAAAAUAACAGUAAUAUGAAUAUUGAGUGCUCCUGCCCUGAGAGCAGCACAUAGUUUAUUAAAAUAACAGUAAUAUGAAUAUUGAGUACUCCUGCCCUGAGAGCAGUGCAUAGUUUAGUAAAAUAACAGUUAUAUGAAUUUUGAUUACUCCUGCCAGCACAUAGUACCCUAAAAAUAACAGUAAUAUGAAUAUUGAGUACUCCUGCCCUGAGAGCAUGCAUAGUUUAAUAAAAUAACAGUAAUAUGAAUUUUGAUUACUCCUGCCCUGAGAGCAGUGCAUAUUUAGUAAAAAUAACAGUAAUAUGAAUAUUGAGUACUCCUGCCCUGAGAGCAGCACAUAGUUUAGUAAAAAUAACAGUAAUAUGAAUAUUGAGUACUCCUGCCCUGAGAGCAGCACAUAGUUUAUUAAAAUAACAGUAAUAUGAAUAUUGAGU